CUUAAGUGAAUGUGGUUUCACUGUACUUAUGUAAAGGAUCAAUUAAGAUAAUCUUGGAUUAAUCCCAUUACACUCUUUGGUCUUGUUUAUGGCUUUCUUUGUUGUCAAAUUCACACAAACUGUGAAAAAACAGUAUCCUGUUUGUAGUAGCGUCAUUACCAUGUGCUACAGAAUUUCCUCCCCUGUAAAAAUGUAAAUAUAUCCUUUAUUGUGUCCCUCUGCUUACAGAUAUUCCAAAGAUUUUGUAUAAUGUUGCUUUAAAAAUAUUGUUCUUUAGGUUCUGAUUUUAUACAUCAAGGGUCGCCUUGAUAUGCUUCUGUGAAAUUUGUGGUGGUGCAAGCAAAAUAAACUUUCAGACUUAAUUUUUAGGAAUAUCAAGAUUUCUGGGAGGGAAUCUAACUUAGAAAUUUUAAUUCCUAAUGAAGAUUAAAAAAUGGGACUCUUGGUUAUCUGCUAUGAGUGAGUUUACCAAAUGAGACUGUACAAAGCACCCUAAAGUAAAGUGCACUUACCAUUUUCAGUUCAAAACUAUUAGCACAACAUUUAUGGGAUCAUAAAAGUACUUCUUGUUAAAAGAAUGCUUUGAUGAGCAAACCUGCUGAGAGCACUGAGAAGUACGGUAGUUUUGUAAUUUCAAGUCGAGCUGUGAUCAUAUUUUUGAUGUGUCAGUACGAAGUGGAGAAAUCUGUUUCAUUUCAAGAAAAAGUGCGUCUGAUUCAUUUUCACUCGGUCAAUUGCUGUGGCUAAUCCAGACGCAUUCUCAGCUUGCAGUCUUUCUUGCGUGUUGUGUUUUUUACACUUUUCCCUUAAAGGCAGGCCUGGAAAGUAGCGUUUUCUGUAGAUGUCAGCUUCUGUCUGGUGUGAUGCUCCAUUCUUCUGGUGAUGUCACGUGCAGCACUGAGUAAUACUGGAAAACUGAAGAGGUCUCUUAGAAUAAGGCAUAUGAUUGAUGCAUUGAAGGUGCAGGGCCUCACCGUAUGCAACAGAGGAGAUGGUAAGAUACCUGAAGAAAUGAGAAAGCUAAUAAAGUUGUGUCAUAACAUCCAUGAAAUUGCAGAUGUUAAGCAGGAAAAAGUCAUAAAUAGCUGCUUCUAUGCUAGAAAUAUUGGAUAUCACCUCUGAAGUAAAGAUGCUCGGUUUUAGUCAGUUUGAGUAGAGAGACACAGUUUAUGCACAGAAGGACCCUGAAACAGUGAUGAGACUGCUCAUGAACUGCUUGCACAUUGUUUACUCUUCUCUGCUCCUCCCAGCAUGACCUGCAGGCUGGCAUGGAGAGUAGAAAGGGGUUUGCGGCUGUUUUGCUUGCUUGCCAUGGUUUGUUGGUUUGUUUGUUUUCUUUUUUGUUUUUGUUUUUGUUUUGCUUUUUGCUUUGUUUUAAUAGCCCUGUAAUUUUGGCCUGUCGGGCUGUUCCAGAGCUAGCCGAAGAGACUGCAAACUAGGAUGGUGACAGACAUCUUCACAGAUGUAUUGGGAUGGGUUUUCUCAAUAGUAUGUAGAAGUUUGUUUUGAUGAGCACUUCUUUAAAAUAAGAUCUUAGACUGUAAUUUUUUGAGAACUCAAAGAAGUGUGGAUGUUAUUUCUUCAAUGACAAAUAUUUUAUAUUGGUUAAUUAAUUUUUUUUUAAAAAAUAACUUCUUUGGCAGUGCUUUUACAGCAAGUAAUGAUGUUCAAAGACAUGCCCUUGCUGGAGGGAAGGUGAAAGGGCCAUUUAAUUAAAUUUGUAAUCUCAUUUCAAGAGAUCUGCAUUCAAAUUUACAUAAGUUAGUAUUUAAAGUCUAAUUCCUCAAUCAAAUUGUUUACGUUAUAAGUACAGCAUAAAAUUUGGUACAGUUAAAAAGCCCACGUAGUGAUCAGCAUGGGACACACAAUAGAUAACAUAAGGAUGACCUCGAUAGGUAGUUCUGACUUUGUAACGUGCUGAGCUAUCAGCGUCCUAAACUUAUGAAAAUUCACUACCACUUUAUGUAAAAUCUAAUUUAAUUUUAUAUACACGAGACAGGAAAAAAAAAACUAUAGAAAGAAAGAUGUGUAGUGUUGUUACUUCUGCACAUACUUGUUUAAUGCUUUAGAUUUUGUUGAAAGGGAGGUCUGCUGACUACGUGCUUUGGUUGCAUGCAGUUCCUUCAGUUCCUUAAGAAUGUAUGUGUUUUGUUGAUCAGCUUAUUACCUGCCAAAACAGCAGUUAGUAUUAAGUUUACAGAAUGUUAUCGGAAUACUUAAGUGCAUUAUUUAAAACGUGUGAAUAAACUUUAUCUUGGAUAUGUUUUUAUUGUGGUG
Molecule: long non-coding RNA, 2277 nt
Organism: Numida meleagris (helmeted guineafowl)
Lineage: Eukaryota; Metazoa; Chordata; Aves; Galliformes; Numididae
Source: Ensembl